Molecule: ribosomal RNA, 404 nt
Filed under: Pelobates cultripes (western spadefoot toad)
Lineage: Eukaryota; Metazoa; Chordata; Amphibia; Anura; Pelobatidae
Description: LSU_rRNA_bacteria
Rfam family: Eukaryotic large subunit ribosomal RNA
Source: RNAcentral
GAGCUUGACUCUAGUCUGCAACUGUGAAGAGAGGUGUAGGAUAAGUGGGAGGCCCCCGCUCCUUCGCGAGCCACGGGGCGCCGACGGUGAAAUACCACUACUCUUUUUUUUUCCACUUACCCGGUGAGGUGGCUGGGAAGCCCCGAGGGGCUCUCGCAUCUGGCUCCAAGCGCCCGGCGCGUGCGACCCACUCCAAGGACAGUGGCAGGUGGGGAGUUUGACUGGGGCGGCACACCUGUCAAACCGUAAUGCAGGUGUCCUAAGGUGAGCUCAGGGAGGACAGAAACCUCCCGUGGAGCAGACGCGCAAAAGCUCGCUAUUAUAAUUCAUAAACAACGGGGUUCUGGGUCAAGGAUUCGUGAGUAGCAGAGCAGCUACCUCACUGCAAUCUAUUGAAAGUCAUC